This is a regulatory RNA element of Acidaminococcus sp. CAG:917, 98 nucleotides long. It matches the Rfam family "Purine riboswitch aptamer". From Rfam's summary of the family: Riboswitches are metabolite binding domains within certain messenger RNAs that serve as precision sensors for their corresponding targets. Allosteric rearrangement of mRNA structure is mediated by ligand binding, and this results in modulation of gene expression. The record is from Rfam. Lineage: Bacteria; Bacillati; Bacillota; Negativicutes; Acidaminococcales; Acidaminococcaceae.
UAAAUUAAAGUUAAAAAGCCAAUAUAAUUAGGAAAAUACGGUUUCAAGUUUCUACCAAACACCUUAAAUGUUUUACUAUUGUGCGGUUUGAAAUUUUG